This 343-nucleotide ribosomal RNA is filed under the name uncultured bacterium. RNAcentral's name for it is "bacterial SSU rRNA". It matches the Rfam family "Bacterial small subunit ribosomal RNA", at positions 9 to 342 of the family's 1533-position model. The record is from RNAcentral.
GGGAGUUUGAUCAUGGCUCAGGACGAACGCUGGCGGCGUGCUUAACACAUGCAAGUCGAGCGGGGUCCAACCUGUCGCAAGACAGGGGAAGACCUAGCGGCGAACGGGUGAGUAACACGUGAGCAACCUGCCCCGGAGACCGGGAUAACACCGGGAAACCGGUGCUAAUACCGGAUACCCUCAACGGAUCGCAUGGUCCGAUGAGGAAAUGGAUUCCGCUUCGGGAGGGGCUCGCGGCCUAUCAGCUUGUUGGUGGGGUAACGGCCUACCAAGGCUCCGACGGGUAGCUGGUCUGAGAGGACGACCAGCCACACUGGGACUGAGACACGGCCCAGACUCGCCC